This 497-nucleotide ribosomal RNA is filed under the name uncultured bacterium. Its description in RNAcentral is "partial 16S ribosomal RNA". It matches the Rfam family "Bacterial small subunit ribosomal RNA", at positions 28 to 507 of the family's 1533-position model. The record is from RNAcentral.
GAUGAACGCUGGCGGCGUGCCUAAUACAUGCAAGUCGAGCGGAAGGACGAGACGCUUGCUUCUUUGACGUUAGCGGCGGACGGGUGAGUAACAUGUGGAUAACCUACCUAUCAGUCUGGGAUCACUUCGGGAAUCCGGCGCUUACCCCGGAUAAUAUUUUGAACCGCAUGGUUCAAAAGUGAAUGACGGCCUUGCUGUAACUACUAGCUGCUUCCCGGCUGCAUUAGCUAGUUGGUACGGUAACGGCUUACCAAGGCAACGAUGCAUAGCCGACCUGACAGGCUGAUCGGCCACACUGGAACGGAGACACGGUCCAGACUCCUACGGGAGGCAGCAGUAGGGAAUCUUCCGCAGUGGGCGGAAGCCUGACAGAGCAACGCCGCGUGAGUGAUGAAGAUCUUCGGAUCGUAAAACUCUGUUAUUAGGGAUGAACAGAUGUGUAAGUAACUGUGCACAUCUUGACGGUAACUAAUCAGAAAGCAACGGCUAACUACGUG